This 253-nucleotide ribosomal RNA is filed under the name uncultured bacterium. Its description in RNAcentral is "partial 16S ribosomal RNA". It matches the Rfam family "Bacterial small subunit ribosomal RNA", at positions 524 to 776 of the family's 1533-position model. The record is from RNAcentral.
UACGUAGGGUGCAAGCGUUGUCCGGAAUUAUUGGGCGUAAAGAGCUCGUAGGCGGUUUGUCGCGUCUGCUGUGAAAACUCGGGGCUUAACCCCGGGCCUGCAGUGGGUACGGGCAGACUAGAGUGCGGUAGGGGAGACUGGAAUUCCUGGUGUAGCGGUGAAAUGCGCAGAUAUCAGGAGGAACACCGGUGGCGAAGGCGGGUCUCUGGGCCGUAACUGACACUGAGGGACGAAAGCUAGGGGAGCGAAUGGG